Molecule: long non-coding RNA, 651 nt
Filed under: Rhipicephalus microplus (southern cattle tick)
Lineage: Eukaryota; Metazoa; Arthropoda; Arachnida; Ixodida; Ixodidae
Description: uncharacterized LOC119187233, transcript variant X1
Source: RNAcentral
CAUCGGGAGUGCCAGCGUCUCCCAUUGGAAACGCUCGGUGGUCGGCACACUAGUAAGCGUAUUCUAGGCACUAUAACGCUAGUAACCUGCCUCUUUCCUAUCUGGCAACGCUGGUAACAUGCCUCUUUCCUAUCUGGCAACGCUGCUAACCAUUGUUCGGCUGCGCUGUACUGUCGAUGUAGGCUGGUCGUAAUUUUUCCGUUGUCGUGCUCUCUCCGAACAAUAAUAGUAACCAUUGCUUGGCUUCGCUGUACUGCCGAUGUAAUCUGGUCGUAAUUUUUCUAUUUUCGUGCUCUCUCCGUAAAUUAUUACGUGCCGCCGAGCGAAAUACCCCCACGUGCGUUGCCUCCAACACCCUUCAAGCCAAGUGACAUGUCGGCCGACUCCUCUCAAGAGAACCCGAUCCAAGUUGUGGCGCAACAGAUGCUCGAUGAAAACGCCCGAUUUAUAAAAGCUAUUAUUCGCUGUCAAAACGAAGGGGACGCUUUGAAGUGUUCGAGGUAUAAAGCGCUUUUCUACAGAAAUUUAGUCGUCUUGGCAAAUUUAGGAAGAUCAUGUAAAAGGACAAUUCCACCAGAGAAAUAUCCUGCGUAACCUACUCUCCCAGACAUCCCUGGACGUCGCUGGUCUUGUAGGGCAGGCAUCUCUUGU